UACGGAGGAUCCGAGCGUUAUCCGGAUUUAUUGGGUUUAAAGGGUGCGUAGGUGGAUUGGUAAGUCAGUGGUGAAAGUUUGCAGCUUAACUGUAAAAUUGCCGUUGAAACUGCCGGUCUUGAGUGCAAAUGAGGUAGGCGGAAUGCGUCGUGUAGCGGUAAAAUGCUUAGAUAUGACGCAGAACUCCGAUUGCGAAGGCAGCUUACUGGGAUGCAACUGACGCUGAGGCACGAAAGCGUGGGUAUCAAACAGGAUUAGAUACCCU
Molecule: ribosomal RNA, 265 nt
Filed under: uncultured prokaryote
Description: partial 16S ribosomal RNA
Rfam family: Bacterial small subunit ribosomal RNA
Source: RNAcentral